Molecule: ribosomal RNA, 319 nt
Filed under: uncultured eukaryote
Lineage: Eukaryota
Description: partial 18S ribosomal RNA
Rfam family: Eukaryotic small subunit ribosomal RNA
Source: RNAcentral
CCCUUAGAUGUUCUGGGCAGCACGCGCGCUACAAUGGUCUUCGCAAACGGAUGCAUUCUCGAAGGAGAAUGCCAAUCUUGGAAUCUAUGCCUUGGUCGGGACAGUUGCUUGCAAUUUUUCGACUCGAACCAGGAAUUCCUUGUAAUCGUGAUUCAUCACAUCACGAUGAAUACGUCCCUGCCCUUUGUACACACCGCCCGUCGCUCCUACCGAUCGAAGAGUUAGGUGAAUUGUUUUGAUCGAUAAGAUUUGACUAUGGUCAACUCUCGUUGUGAAAUACUGUGAAUCUGACUGUUUAGAGGAAGGAAAAGUCGUAACA